Molecule: ribosomal RNA, 863 nt
Filed under: uncultured archaeon
Lineage: Archaea
Description: bacterial SSU rRNA
Rfam family: Archaeal small subunit ribosomal RNA
Source: RNAcentral
CGAGUCGAAUGUAGCAAUACAUGGCGAACUGCUCAGUAACACGUGGACAACCUGCCCUUAGGACGGGGAUAAACCCGGGAAACUGGGUAUAAUACCCGAUAGGUCUCGAUUGCUGGAAUGCAUCGAGAUUUAAAGCUCCGGCGCCUAAGGAUGGGUCUGCGGCCUAUCAGGUAGUAGUGGGUGUAGCGUACCUACUAGCCUACGACGGGUACGGGUUGUGAGAGCAAGAGCCCGGAGAUGGAUUCUGAGACACGAAUCCAGGCCCUACGGGGUGCAGCAGGCGCGAAAACUUUACAAUGCUGGCAACAGCGAUAAGGGAACCUCGAGUGCCAGGUUACAAAUCUGGCUGUCGAGAUGCCUAAAAAGCAUUUCAUAGCAAGGGCCGGGCAAGACCGGUGCCAGCCGCCGCGGUAACACCGGCGGCUCGAGUGGUAACCGUUAUUAUUGGGUCUAAAGGGUCUGUAGCCGGCCGGAUAAGUCUCUUGAGAAAUCUGGCAGCUUAACUGUCAGGCUUUCAGGAGAUACUGUCUGGCUCGAGGCCGGGAGAGGUGAGAGGUACUUCAGGGGUAGGGGUGAAAUCUUGUAAUCCUUGAAGGACCACCAGUGGCGAAGGCGUCUCACCAGAACGGACCUGACGGCAAGGGACGAAAGCUAGGGGCACGAACCGGAUUAGAUACCCGGGUAGUCCUAGCCGUAAACGAUACUCGCUAGGUGUCGGCCACGGUGCGACCGUUGUCGGUGCCGUAGGGAAGCCGUGAAGCGAGCCACCUGGGAAGUACGGCCGCAAGGCUGAAACUUAAAGGAAUUGGCGGGGGAGCACCACAACGGGUGGAGCUUGCGGUUUAAUUGGAUUCAACGCCGGG